RNAcentral lists this ribosomal RNA (373 nucleotides) under uncultured bacterium. Its description in RNAcentral is "bacterial SSU rRNA". It matches the Rfam family "Bacterial small subunit ribosomal RNA", at positions 524 to 898 of the family's 1533-position model. The record is from RNAcentral.
UACGGAGGGUGCAAGCGUUAUCCGGAAUUACUGGGUUUAAAGGGUGCGUAGGCGGUGGGAUAAGUCAGUUGUGAAAUUCCGUGGCUUAACCAUAGGGACUGCGAUUGAUACUGUUUCACUUGAAUCAGGUUGAGGUGAGCGGAAUGUGGCAUGUAGCGGUGAAAUGCAUAGAUAUGCCAUAGAACACCGAUUGCGAAGGCAGCUUGCUGGACCUGUAUUGACGCUGAGGCACGAAAGCGUGGGGAGCAAACAGGAUUAGAUACCCUGGUAGUCCACGCCCUAAACGAUGUUUACUUGCUGUUCGGCCUUCGGGUUGAGUGGCGAAGCGAAAGCGAUAAGUAAACCACCUGGGGAGUACGCCCGCAAGGGUGAA